Molecule: ribosomal RNA, 469 nt
Filed under: uncultured bacterium
Lineage: Bacteria
Description: partial 16S ribosomal RNA
Rfam family: Bacterial small subunit ribosomal RNA
Source: RNAcentral
GACGAACGCUGGCGGCGUGCUUAACACAUGCAAGUCGAACGGUGAACGAGGGAGCUUGCUCCCUCCGGAUCAGUGGCGAACGGGUGAGUAACACGUGAGCAAUCUGCCCCGAACUCUGGGAUAAGCGUUGGAAACGACGUCUAAUACCGGAUACGACGCGGGAGGGCAUCCUCUCCGCGUGGAAAGAACUUCGGUUCGGGAUGAGCUCGCGGCCUAUCAGCUUGUUGGUGAGGUAACGGCUCACCAAGGCGACGACGGGUAGCCGGCCUGAGAGGGUGACCGGCCACACUGGGACUGAGACACGGCCCAGACUCCUACGGGAGGCAGCAGUGGGGAAUAUUGCACAAUGGGCGCAAGCCUGAUGCAGCAACGCCGCGUGAGGGACGACGGCCUUCGGGUUGUAAACCUCUUUUAGCAGGGAAGAAGCGAAAGUAACGGUACCUGCAGAAAAAGCACCGGCUAACUACGU